This is a small RNA of 220 nucleotides. It matches the Rfam family "PhrS". The record is from Rfam.
AUCUACUCAUAGCAAUCAACGACUCAUUGACUACGGAGUAGCCAAAUGUUCAUGGAUAUAGUGGUUUUCGCAGGUAUCGGCACUGUCCUACUGAUGAUUUCAUUUUUUGCUGGCCUUGCUUACUUUCUCUGGAAGAAUGAAACCGGUAAAGAGUAAGCAACGCUUCGCAUACUAGGCACGCAAGGCAAUUUGGCAGCUAACUUUAGCUGCCUUUUUUUAU